Molecule: long non-coding RNA, 984 nt
Organism: Passer domesticus (house sparrow)
Lineage: Eukaryota; Metazoa; Chordata; Aves; Passeriformes; Passeridae
Exons: 3
Source: RefSeq, a predicted model, not a curated record
AAAGAGGAAGUUCUCUGGGAAUCCUCUGCUUUUAACCCCUGUGUGUUCUCAGAGGCAUAUCCAGGUCCCCAGUGGCCACACCAGGUGCCAAUUUCAAAUCUGGCCACUGAUUGGUUUGACCUCAACUUUUCCAGAAACUCACUUCCGGGCCAAACCACGACAGAGCACAAGUCCUUUCAUUCUUCAUGGGAUGGAAGUUUUAAGAGCUACAAGCAGCUAAUCUGCCUGCAAAAAGGACCAUGCUUGGGACUCUUACCAACUCUACUGACACGUCUGCUGCAGUUUAUGGACGAUGUUAACUAGAGAGGACCUGAAAUGUUAGACUGAAAAAGAGGAAUCUCCUAAUCUCCCGUGAGGAUGGAAGCCCCAUCUCUGCCUGCAGACCAACGGACACAGCUGCAUCAUCCUCCUCCUCCGUGCCACUCCUGGGAGCAACGGUGUCACCAUCAUCAGAAUCCAACAGGAAAACACCUACAACACCAGUACUAAAGCAGAGAUCAAACACUAAGGACCGUGCCGCUCGUGACAGAGGAGACCAAGAACAGCACCCCUUCUGGUGAGAAGAUCAAAAGCCAAAGGAGAAUGAACUAUUAACCCACUAAGCAAAAAUGUAUUCGUUUAAUUCUGUUACUAUUCAUCAUUUCUGUUACUUUAUCCUCUGUAAUUAAGUCUCAAAUGCUUUUCUAUUACUGUUAAUUCAGCUUAAUAAUGUUCAUUUUAGUUUUGUAAACCAUUAAGUCAUAUUCCUGAGAAUUGCCUUGUUUUAACCAAUUUAUAAAUUGAGGAAUUGUAGAGCCUUCCCAUUCUGAGGAGGCUGUAAUCUGAUUUUAAGACUCCUCCCACGGGAUACCUGAUAAAACCCCAUGGCCCUAGGUUCUGCUUCCUCUCUGGCCCGCUGAGCUUUGCUCAGGCUACUGGACCUCCGCCUCCUGUGUUCCCCCCCGCCCCGGCACCGGGUGGGGGGUGUGGGAAAUAAAAUGGACU